Molecule: ribosomal RNA, 336 nt
Filed under: Escherichia coli
Lineage: Bacteria; Pseudomonadati; Pseudomonadota; Gammaproteobacteria; Enterobacterales; Enterobacteriaceae
Description: bacterial SSU rRNA
Rfam family: Bacterial small subunit ribosomal RNA
Source: RNAcentral
UAAAACUCAAAUGAAUUGACGGGGGCCCGCACAAGCGGUGGAGCAUGUGGUUUAAUUCGAUGCAACGCGAAGAACCUUACCUGGUCUUGACAUCCACGGAAGUUUUCAGAGAUGAGAAUGUGCCUUCGGGAACCGUGAGACAGGUGCUGCAUGGCUGUCGUCAGCUCGUGUUGUGAAAUGUUGGGUUAAGUCCCGCAACGAGCGCAACCCUUAUCCUUUGUUGCCAGCGGUCCGGCCGGGAACUCAAAGGAGACUGCCAGUGAUAAACUGGAGGAAGGUGGGGAUGACGUCAAGUCAUCAUGGCCCUUACGACCAGGGCUACACACGUGCUACAAU